AGGGCAGGAGACGCAUCAGUCCGGUGGGCUGAUCACAGGCUAAGACGUCUUAGUCUCUUGGGUCACAAGAAUGCAUUGAGGGACUUACCUGCUUCUUCCAGUUGUUUAAGAGAGGGCACCAGAGGACUCAGCCUGCACUCCUGGGGUGGCUGGCUGGGCUCCCCAAUUCCGCCACCAGGCUCCCCGGCCUGGGUCCCUCCUCAGGGCCCAGGUGGCCGUCCUCUUGCCUCCUGCCCCGUCCUCCGCUGCCUGCUGCCCUCCCUGCACUGGGGCGCUCGGGACAAGGGGCUCGGGGUCCCCUUCCCCAAGCCCUCCUGCUCCAGGAAGCAGGGGCAGCAGCUGAGUAUCAACCAGAGAUGCCUGUGGGGGGGGGCAGUGAGCGUGACAGACCCCCCAGGACAGAGUCCCUUGGACAGGGCCCCCAGGGUGGGGGCCCCAGGUCGGGGCCCCAGGUGGAACCUCAGGAAGCCUUACUUGCUCUGCUGUCUGCAUUUAUUAUCCUGCUGGAUAACGAGUGGGCCAAGGUGGCCGCCAGUUCCAGAAGGCGUCUUUGACGGCCUAGUGGGAGGCCAGGGCCAGCUGGCCAAACACCCACGGGCGUUGGUUCUGUCUGCUCAGCCACCACACGGCCACUGCCAGGGCUGCGGGAAACAAGUCCAGACCCUUGCAGAAACUGACCACACUUCAUCGGUCCAGCAAACCCCAAGCACCUGCUCAACAGGCAGAACACACGUCUUAAAGAUCCCACAUCUGAGAUGCUUCUUUUUUUUUGCAGUAUUUCCUUCCCCUGAAGAGGAAGCACAUGCAUUUACUACGGAAAAACAGAAGAGAACGAGGAAGAAAGCGGAACAUCACUCAAGGUCAACCCUGCAGGCAAGCAUGGCUGGGCUGUGUCCGUGUCGCCAGCUCUGGUCACUUCCCGUCCUCUGGACCAGUCGUUGUUCUGCUCGGCGCUGCCUUAUGGUUCCAGCAGAGGAAAGGGACGCGUGGUGCAGUGGUCCCCAGGCUCAGGGUCAAUUCCUGGGAGUCCCCUCUCUCCAGCCAGGUGAAACCGGGCUGCCCCCUCGUCACUCUGCUCAGGACCAGCUCUGCAGUGGACCUUGA
This 1104-nucleotide long non-coding RNA is filed under the name Sus scrofa (pig). Its description in RNAcentral is "lncRNA (ENSSSCG00070005495.1)". Lineage: Eukaryota; Metazoa; Chordata; Mammalia; Artiodactyla; Suidae. The record is from RNAcentral.